RNAcentral lists this ribosomal RNA (468 nucleotides) under uncultured bacterium. Its description in RNAcentral is "partial 16S ribosomal RNA". It matches the Rfam family "Bacterial small subunit ribosomal RNA", at positions 28 to 507 of the family's 1533-position model. The record is from RNAcentral.
GACGAACGCUGGCGGCGUGCUUAACACAUGCAAGUCGAACGGAAAGGCCCUGCUUUUGUGGGGUGCUCGAGUGGCGAACGGGUGAGUAACACGUGAGUAACCUGCCCUUGACUUUGGGAUAACUUCAGGAAACUGGGGCUAAUACCGGAUAGGAGCUCCUGCUGCAUGGUGGGGGUUGGAAAGUUUCGGCGGUUGGGGAUGGACUCGCGGCUUAUCAGCUUGUUGGUGGGGUAGUGGCUUACCAAGGCUUUGACGGGUAGCCGGCCUGAGAGGGUGACCGGCCACAUUGGGACUGAGAUACGACCCAGACUCCUACGGGAGGCAGCAGUGGGGAAUAUUGCGCAAUGGGCGGAAGCCUGAUGCAGCAACGCCGCGUGCGGGAUGACGGCCUUCGGGUUGUAAACCGCUUUCGCCUGUGACGAAGCGUGAGUGACGGUAAUGGGUAAAGAAGCACCGGCUAACUACGUG